CAGUGGACAAUCUGCUCCGGCCAGAAGCUC
This 30-nucleotide non-coding RNA is filed under the name Homo sapiens (human). The record is from RNAcentral. Lineage: Eukaryota; Metazoa; Chordata; Mammalia; Primates; Hominidae.